AGUGAACGCUGGCGGUAGGCCUAACACAUGCAAGUCGAACGGCAGCACAGUAAGAGCUUGCUCUUACGGGUGGCGAGUGGCGGACGGGUGAGGAAUACAUCGGAAUCUACUUUUUCGUGGGGGAUAACGUAGGGAAACUUACGCUAAUACCGCAUACGACCUACGGGUGAAAGCAGGGGAUCUUCGGACCUUUCGCGAUUGAAUGAGCCGAUGUCGGAUUAGCUAGUUGGCGGGGUAAAGGCCCACCAAGGCGACGAUCCGUAGCUGGUCUGAGAGGAUGAUCAGCCACACUGGAACUGAGACACGGUCCAGACUCCUACGGGAGGCAGCAGUGGGGAAUAUUGGACAAUGGGCGCAAGCCUGAUCCAGCCAUACCGCGUGGGUGAAGAAGGCCUUCGGGUUGUAAAGCCCUUUUGUUGGGAAAGAAAAGCAGCAGGUUAAUACCCCGCUGUCCUGACGGUACCCAAAGAAUAAGCACCGGCUAACUUCGUG
Molecule: ribosomal RNA, 492 nt
Filed under: uncultured bacterium
Lineage: Bacteria
Description: partial 16S ribosomal RNA
Rfam family: Bacterial small subunit ribosomal RNA
Source: RNAcentral